This 544-nucleotide ribosomal RNA is filed under the name bacterium enrichment culture clone 13(2012b). RNAcentral describes it as "bacterial SSU rRNA". It matches the Rfam family "Bacterial small subunit ribosomal RNA", at positions 9 to 526 of the family's 1533-position model. The record is from RNAcentral.
GAGUUUGAUCCUGGCUCAGAGUGAACGCUGGCGGCGUGCUUAACACAUGCAAGUCGCACGAGAACGCUUCUGCUUGCAGAGGCAAGUAAAGUGGCGCACGGGUGAGUAACACGUGGGUAACCUACCUCCGAAUUGGGGAUAACGUUGCGAAAGCGACGCUAAUACCGAAUGAUAUCCUGGGAUUCUUGGAUCCUUGGAUCAAAGGUGCCUCUUCAUGAAAGCUACCGUUUGGAGAUGAGCCCGCGUCCCAUUAGCUUGUUGGUAGGGUAACGGCCUACCAAGGCUUCGAUGGGUAGCUGGUCUGAGAGGAUGAUCAGCCACACUGGAACUGACACACGGUCCAGACUCCUACGGGAGGCAGCAGUGAGGAAUUUUGCGCAAUGGGGGAAACCCUGACGCAGCAACGCCGCGUGAGUGAUGAAGGCCUUCGGGUCGUAAAGCUCUGUCAAGUGGGAAGAACCUGUGAACGGCCAAUACCUGUUUACACUGACGGUACCACUGAAGGAAGCACCGGCUAACUCCGUGCCAGCAGCCGCGGUAAUAC